RNAcentral lists this transfer RNA (72 nucleotides) under Methanothrix sp. RNAcentral's name for it is "tRNA-Cys". It matches the Rfam family "tRNA". Rfam says of the family: Transfer RNA (tRNA) molecules are approximately 80 nucleotides in length. Their secondary structure includes four short double-helical elements and three loops (D, anti-codon, and T loops). Further hydrogen bonds mediate the characteristic L-shaped molecular structure. tRNAs have two regions of fundamental functional importance: the anti-codon, which is responsible for specific mRNA codon recognition, and the 3' end, to which the tRNAs corresponding amino acid is attached (by aminoacyl-tRNA synthetases). tRNAs cope with the degeneracy of the genetic code in two manners: having more than one tRNA (with a specific anti-codon) for a particular amino acid; and 'wobble' base-pairing, i.e. permitting non-standard base-pairing at the 3rd anti-codon position. RNAcentral also lists the same sequence under 1 other name. Lineage: Archaea; Methanobacteriati; Methanobacteriota; Methanomicrobia; Methanotrichales; Methanotrichaceae. The record is from RNAcentral.
GCCGAGGUGGCAGAGUGGCUAUGCAUUCGGCUGCAGACCGGAUCUACGUGAGUUCGAUUCUCACCCUCGGCU